Molecule: ribosomal RNA, 951 nt
Filed under: Streptomyces sp. t1(2014)
Lineage: Bacteria; Bacillati; Actinomycetota; Actinomycetes; Kitasatosporales; Streptomycetaceae
Description: bacterial SSU rRNA
Rfam family: Bacterial small subunit ribosomal RNA
Source: RNAcentral
GAACGUGGCGGGUGCUUACCAUGCAGUCGAACGAUGAACCGCUUUCGGGCGGGGAUUAGUGGCGAACGGGUGAGUAACACGUGGGCAAUCUGCCCUGCACUCUGGGACAAGCCCUGGAAACGGGGUCUAAUACCGGAUAUGACUGUCCAUCGCAUGGUGGAUGGUGUAAAGCUCCGGCGGUGCAGGAUGAGCCCGCGGCCUAUCAGCUUGUUGGUGAGGUAGUGGCUCACCAAGGCGACGACGGGUAGCCGGCCUGAGAGGGCGACCGGCCACACUGGGACUGAGACACGGCCCAGACUCCUACGGGAGGCAGCAGUGGGGAAUAUUGCACAAUGGGCGAAAGCCUGAUGCAGCGACGCCGCGUGAGGGAUGACGGCCUUCGGGUUGUAAACCUCUUUCAGCAGGGAAGAAGCGAAAGUGACGGUACCUGCAGAAGAAGCGCCGGCUAACUACGUGCCAGCAGCCGCGGUAAUACGUAGGGCGCAAGCGUUGUCCGGAAUUAUUGGGCGUAAAGAGCUCGUAGGCGGCUUGUCACGUCGGUUGUGAAAGCCCGGGGCUUAACCCCGGGUCUGCAGUCGAUACGGGCAGGCUAGAGUUCGGUAGGGGAGAUCGGAAUUCCUGGUGUAGCGGUGAAAUGCGCAGAUAUCAGGAGGAACACCGGUGGCGAAGGCGGAUCUCUGGGCCGAUACUGACGCUGAGGAGCGAAAGCGUGGGGAGCGAACAGGAUUAGAUACCCUGGUAGUCCACGCCGUAAACGGUGGGGCACUAGGUGUGGGCAACAUUCCACGUUGUCCGUGCCGCAGCUAACGCAUUAAGUGCCCCGCCUGGGGAGUACGGCCGCAAGGCUAAAACUCAAAGGAUUGACGGGGGCCCGCACAAGCGGCGGAGCAUGUGGCUUAAUCGACGCAACGCGAAAAUCUUACCAGGCUUGACAUACACCGGAAACGUCUG